GGGUCGUUAGCUCAGUUGGUAGAGCAGUUGACCUUUAAUCAAUUGGUCGCUGGUUCGAAUCCUGCACGACCCACCA
RNAcentral lists this transfer RNA (76 nucleotides) under Vibrio parahaemolyticus. RNAcentral describes it as "tRNA-Lys". It matches the Rfam family "tRNA". Rfam says of the family: Transfer RNA (tRNA) molecules are approximately 80 nucleotides in length. Their secondary structure includes four short double-helical elements and three loops (D, anti-codon, and T loops). The record is from RNAcentral. Lineage: Bacteria; Pseudomonadati; Pseudomonadota; Gammaproteobacteria; Vibrionales; Vibrionaceae.